RNAcentral lists this ribosomal RNA (257 nucleotides) under uncultured bacterium. Its description in RNAcentral is "partial 16S ribosomal RNA". It matches the Rfam family "Bacterial small subunit ribosomal RNA", at positions 524 to 776 of the family's 1533-position model. The record is from RNAcentral.
UACGAAGGGGGGCUAGCGUUGCUCGGAAUCACUGGGCGUAAAGCGCACGUAGGCGGACUCUUAAGUCGGUGGUGAAAUCCUGGAGCUCAACUCCAGAACUGCCUUUGAUACUGAGGACCUUGAGUUCGGGGAGAGGUGAGUGGAACUGCGAGUGUAAAGGGUGAAAUUCGUAGAUAUCGAGAGGAACACCGGUGGCGAAGGCGGCGAUCUGGACGAUGACUGACGCUGGAGACGCGAAAGCGUGGGGAGCAAACAGG